CCUACGGGAGGCAGCAGUGGCGAAUAUUGGACAAUGGGCGCAAGCCUGAUCCAUCCAUUUCGCGUGGGUGAAGAAGGCCUUCGGGUUGUAAAGCCCUUUUGUUGGGAAAGAAAUCCAGCUGGCUAAUUCCCAGUUGGGAUGACGGUACCCUAUGAAUAAGCACCGGCUAAUUUGGUGCCAGCAGCCGCGGUAAUUCGAAGGGUGCAAGCGUUACUCGGAUUUUCUGGGCGUAAAGCGUGCGUAGGUGGUCGUUUAAGUCCGUUGUGAAAGCCCUGGGCUCAACCUGGGAACUACAGUGGAUACUAGGCGACUAGAAAGU
RNAcentral lists this ribosomal RNA (319 nucleotides) under uncultured Stenotrophomonas sp. RNAcentral's name for it is "bacterial SSU rRNA". It matches the Rfam family "Bacterial small subunit ribosomal RNA", at positions 338 to 649 of the family's 1533-position model. The record is from RNAcentral. Lineage: Bacteria; Pseudomonadati; Pseudomonadota; Gammaproteobacteria; Lysobacterales; Lysobacteraceae.